This 81-nucleotide transfer RNA is filed under the name Cuscuta polyanthemos. Its description in RNAcentral is "tRNA-Leu". It matches the Rfam family "tRNA". Rfam says of the family: Transfer RNA (tRNA) molecules are approximately 80 nucleotides in length. The record is from RNAcentral. Lineage: Eukaryota; Viridiplantae; Streptophyta; Magnoliopsida; Solanales; Convolvulaceae.
GCCGCUAUGGUGAAAUUUGGGAGACACGCUGCUCUUAGGAAGCAGUGCUAGCGCAUCUCGGUUCGAGUCCGAGUAGCGGCA